Molecule: ribosomal RNA, 97 nt
Filed under: Meriones unguiculatus (Mongolian gerbil)
Lineage: Eukaryota; Metazoa; Chordata; Mammalia; Rodentia; Muridae
Source: RNAcentral
UCUAAGGUACUCUACUCUGAAUGUACCUGUUCUCAGAAGCUAAGCAGGGUCUGCCCUAGUUAUUACUUGGAAAGGGGAAAUGAGGAUUUUUAAAGAG